GUGAGUCAGGCACACCCUCAAAUCAAGCUAGUCUGAGCAGAGGCCCUUUGACUUUAGUAAGUGGAAUCGCCAUGUCGAGCCGCUGUAUUCUUCGUUGUGAGGGGCAAACAUCUAUGCAUUGCCUUCCAAAGGAUGACUUUGUGAAGAAUCAGUGGUUGAAAUUCAUUUUUAACAUGAUUCCUCAGAAGCACCAUCAGAACCAUUUCACCGAGGACUGCUUCCUGAACAGUUCAACUCCGGAUUUGCGCAACAUUUAGUCCUAUAAGAAGAUGCAACUCCGACUCUGGGCCUGGACAUUCACAACCUCAACCUGCAACCUAAGGCUACCCGAGGUGAAAACCAAACCACACCUGCACAGUAGAACCCAGCACCACCAGCACUGAUGAAAUAUUCAACACAUCACCAAGCCCUGGCAAGGAAUGGAAAAGACAGAUAGCUGCAGGUAGCUGCUGUCGAGGACAGGUCAGACCUCCCUGCGGGCCGGCUCCCUGGUUUCCCCUUUAGUUUGGUUUUCUUUGGUUGGGCUAUUGCUUUGUGGGAUUUAUCUUGUUUUUUCAUAUUACAACACCUUCACACAUACA
Molecule: long non-coding RNA, 581 nt
Organism: Micropterus dolomieu (smallmouth bass)
Lineage: Eukaryota; Metazoa; Chordata; Actinopteri; Centrarchiformes; Centrarchidae
Exons: 3
Source: RefSeq, a predicted model, not a curated record